GACGAACGCUGGCGGCGUGCUUAACACAUGCAAGUCGAACGAGACGAUUGAAAGCUUGUUUUCGAAAGUCGAGUGGCAAACGGGUGAGUAACGCGUAGACAACCUGCCUUUGAGAUGGGGACAACAGUUCGAAAGGACUGCUAAUACCGAAUGUUGUAUAUUUUCCACAUGGAAGAUAUAUUAAAGAUGGCCUUUAUUUAUAAGCUAUCGCUCAAAGAUGGGUCUGCGUCUGAUUAGCUGGUUGGUGGGGUAACGGCCUACCAAGGCGACGAUCAGUAGCCGGUCUGAGAGGAUGAACGGCCACAUUGGGACUGAGACACGGCCCAGACUCCUACGGGAGGCAGCAGUGGGGAAUCUUCCACAAUGGACGAAAGUCUGAUGGAGCAACGCCGCGUGAGUGAAGAAGGGUUUCGGCUCGUAAAGCUCUGUUGUCGGGGACGAAUGUGCAGUAUUUGAGUAAAGUACUGCAAUGACGGUACCUGACGAGGAAGCCACGGCUAACUACGUGCCAGCAGCCGCCGUAA
RNAcentral lists this ribosomal RNA (524 nucleotides) under uncultured bacterium. RNAcentral's name for it is "partial 16S ribosomal RNA". It matches the Rfam family "Bacterial small subunit ribosomal RNA", at positions 28 to 523 of the family's 1533-position model. The record is from RNAcentral.